Molecule: ribosomal RNA, 267 nt
Filed under: Triticum aestivum (bread wheat)
Lineage: Eukaryota; Viridiplantae; Streptophyta; Magnoliopsida; Poales; Poaceae
Description: partial small subunit ribosomal RNA
Source: RNAcentral
AUGAAGUCGGAUCUAGGAGAUUUCCUGGAACAACUUAACUUGGAAGAAGAGGAAUUCGAUGAUCUUGUUAUUGAUGAGGAUGAUCCUGAAAUCAACGAAAGCGUCAGAUGGCUUGCCCUAGCUAGGGUUCACACGGACAAGUCCCUCAGCCAGACUGCUUUCUACAGGGAGAUGCGCGCGGCGUGGAACAUAGCCCAGCCGGUUAGGUUUCGACCGGUUGGACCAAAUCUGUUCGUCGUUCAAGCCUCCUGUCUUGGAGAUUGGGAG